RNAcentral lists this transfer RNA (70 nucleotides) under Heterocephalus glaber (naked mole-rat). It matches the Rfam family "tRNA". Rfam says of the family: Transfer RNA (tRNA) molecules are approximately 80 nucleotides in length. Their secondary structure includes four short double-helical elements and three loops (D, anti-codon, and T loops). Further hydrogen bonds mediate the characteristic L-shaped molecular structure. tRNAs have two regions of fundamental functional importance: the anti-codon, which is responsible for specific mRNA codon recognition, and the 3' end, to which the tRNAs corresponding amino acid is attached (by aminoacyl-tRNA synthetases). tRNAs cope with the degeneracy of the genetic code in two manners: having more than one tRNA (with a specific anti-codon) for a particular amino acid; and 'wobble' base-pairing, i.e. permitting non-standard base-pairing at the 3rd anti-codon position. Lineage: Eukaryota; Metazoa; Chordata; Mammalia; Rodentia; Bathyergidae. The record is from Rfam by way of RNAcentral.
UGGCAUGUAGCUCAGUGGUAGAGCACUUGCCUGGAUGCACGCGGACCUGGGUUCAACCCUAGCAUGCAUA